Molecule: unclassified non-coding RNA, 353 nt
Filed under: soil metagenome
Description: partial contains 5.8S ribosomal RNA, internal transcribed spacer 2, and large subunit ribosomal RNA
Rfam family: 5.8S ribosomal RNA (bases 1-121)
Source: RNAcentral
GAUGAAGAACGUAGCGAAAUGCGAUAAGUAAUGCGAAUUGCAGAAUUUCCGUGAGUCAUCGAAUCUUUGAACGCACAUUGCGCCCGCCAGUAUUCUGGCGGGCAUGCCUGUUCGAGCGUCAUUACAACCCUCAGGCCCCCGGGCCUGGCGUUGGGGAUCGGCGGAGCCCCCCGUGGGCACACGCCGUCCCCCAAAUGCAGUGGCGGUCCCGCCGCAGCUUCCAUCGCGUAGUAGCUAACACCUCGCGACUGGAGAGCGGCGCGGCCACGCCGUAAAACACCCAACUCUUCUGAAGUUGACCUCGAAUCAGGUAGGAAUACCCGCUGAACUUAAGCAUACCAAUAAGCGGAGGA